UCCAGACUCCUACGGGAGGCAGCAGUGGGGGAUAUUGCACAAUGGGGGAAACCCUGAUGCAGCGACGCCGCGUGAGUGAAGAAGUAUUUCGGUAUGUAAAGCUCUAUCAGCAGGGAAGAAAAAAGACGGUACCUGACUAAGAAGCCCCGGCUAACUACGUGCCAGCAGCCGCGGUAAUACGUAGGGGGCAAGCGUUAUCCGGAUUUACUGGGUGUAAAGGGAGCGUAGACGGCAAUACAAGUCGGAAGUGAAAUACCCGGGCUCAACCUGGGAACUGCUUUGGAAACUGUAUGGCUGGAGUGCUGGAGAGGUAAGCGGAAUUCCUAGUGUAGCGGUGAAAUGCGUAGAUAUUAGGAGGAACACCAGUGGCGAAGGCGGCUUACUGGACAGUAACUGACGUUGAGGCUCGAAAGCGUGGGGAGCAAACAGGAUUAGAUACCCCUGUAG
This 447-nucleotide ribosomal RNA is filed under the name uncultured bacterium. Its description in RNAcentral is "bacterial SSU rRNA". It matches the Rfam family "Bacterial small subunit ribosomal RNA", at positions 330 to 793 of the family's 1533-position model. The record is from RNAcentral.